CGGGCAGGUGCCGCGGGCGGCGGGCAGGUGGCGGCGCGGCGCUGGGCCGGCGGCGGCGGCGGCUCCAGGGUUCAUGGCAGCGUUAUUCACAAUAGUCAAGAUGUGGAAACAACCUGCGUUCAUCAGUGGUUGUGGCAUGUGGGACGCUGCCUCAGCGUGGUCUGAUGAGCAGUGCCAUGUCUGCGCCCAGGAUUCGAACCAACGAAACACUGGGCCGCCUGCAGCGGAGCGCGCGAACUUAACCACUCGGCCACGGGGCCAGCCCCUAGGAGAGUACAUCUUGAAAGUUCUCAUCAUAAAGAUUUUUUUCUAACUCUAUAUGGUGAUGGAUGUUAACUAGACAGUGUGGUGAUCGUUUCACAAUGUAUACAAAUGCUGCAUCAUUAUGUUGUACCCCUGAAACUCAUAUAAUGUUAUAUGUUAAUUAUACUUGAA
Molecule: long non-coding RNA, 435 nt
Filed under: Equus asinus (donkey)
Lineage: Eukaryota; Metazoa; Chordata; Mammalia; Perissodactyla; Equidae
Description: lncRNA (ENSEASG00005037852.1)
Source: RNAcentral